GGAGUCUGGCUCUCGAGAUUCGGAGGGCGGUGCCUCUUCGAUUUUGGAGCAAGCAAUCUUGUUGGGAGUGUUGUCUCGAAUGUGAGUAAAGGUUGGGCAUGUUUGCUAGUCUACCUUGCCACGAAGCACAAAGGUUGAUACACAGGGACUUUCCAAUUAUCCAGCAAUGGUACUGUUCCUUUACCCUCUCUCUUCGAUUUUGAGAAAGUAGUCAUGUUGGGAGUCUGGCUCUCGAGAUUCGGAGGACGGUGCCUCUUCGAUUUUGGAGCAAGCAAUCUUGUUGGGAGUGUUUUCUCGAAUGUGAGUAAAGGUUGGGCAUGUUUGCUACUCUACCUUGCCACGAAGCACAGAGGUUGACACACAGGGAGUUUCCAAUUAUCCAGCAGUGGUACUGUUCCUUUACCCUUGUGGGUAAUAAUAUGGUAGCUAGACCUUCAAAAUUUAUGUGUCUAAACUUUGUUAGUGUUGUUUCUUUGCUAUUCUUUUACCUUUCUUGGUCAGAGCGAUGUAGUGGGAGCUGCAAGCUUCACGUGCUCAACUUUGGCAGAGAACUUUGGCAAAGUUAUCUGUGGUACCCAUGAGCUAUUGUUGCGUGUGGGAAGUGGGUGAUUGAACAGUAAGAUUCAUGUGCUUUCUACUUCACCAGAAGUCUUCGACAGAAUGCCCAUAAUUUCUGCAAAGCUGAGUGUGCGUGUGACAGGUGAUGACAAGGCUAGAAAAGUAGGUGCCUCUUCGAUUUCUGAGAUCGGCCCUCGUGGUCUCUGAGCAGCCCAGCUUUUGAGAAAGCGAGCGCCUCUUCGAUUGAUUCGAAGAACGAUGCCUCAUCGAUUUUUGAGAAAGCAGUCACGCUGGGGGUCUGGCUCUCGAAAAUUCGGGGAGCAGUGUCUCUUCGAUUUUUGAGAAAGUAAUCAUGUUGGGAGUCUGGCUCUCGAGAUUCGGAGGGCGGUGCCUCUUCGAUUUUGGAGCAAGCAAUCUUGUUGGGAGUGUUUUCUCGAAUGUGAGUAAAGGUUGGGCAUGUUUGCUAGUCUACCUUGCCACGAAGCACAGAGGUUGACACACAGGGACUUUCCAAUUAUCCAGCAAUGGUACUGUUCCUUUACCCUAUCUUCGAUUUUUUAAGAAAGUAGUCAUGUUGGGAGUCUGGCUCUCGAGAUUCGGAGGACGGUGCCUCUUCGAUUUUGGAGCAAGCAAUCUUAUUGGGAGUGUUUUUUCUCGAAUGUGAGUAAAGGUUGGGCAUGUUUGCUAGUCUACCUUGCCACGAAGCACAGAGGUUGACACACAGGGACUGUCCAAUUAUCCAGCAGUGGUACUGUUCCUUUACCCUUGUGGGUAAUAAUAUGGUAGCUAGACCUUCAAAAUUUAUGGGUCUAAACUUUGUUAGUGCUGUUUCUUUCUUUGCUAUUCUUUUACCCUUCUUGGUCAGAGCGAUGUAGUGGGAGCUGCAAGCUUCACGUGCUCAACUUUG
This 1465-nucleotide long non-coding RNA is filed under the name Malus domestica (apple). RNAcentral describes it as "long non-coding RNA (MDOM_LNC001578)". The record is from RNAcentral. Lineage: Eukaryota; Viridiplantae; Streptophyta; Magnoliopsida; Rosales; Rosaceae.